CCUACGGGUGGCAGCAGUGAGGGAUAUUGGACAAUGGGGGAAACCCUGAUCCAUCCACGCCGCGUGAGGGAAGAAGGCUUUCGGUAUGUAACGCUCUGUCAGCAGGGAAGAAAAUGACGGUAGCUGACUAGGAAGCUCCGGCUAACUACGUGCCAGCAGCCGCGGUAAUACGUAGGGGGCAAGCGUUAUCCGGAUUUACUGGGUGUAAAGGGUGCGUAGACGGUUGAGCAAGUCAGAAGUGAAAUGUAUGGGCUUAACCCAUGAACUGCAGUUGAAACUGCUGAACUUGAGUACAGGAGAGGUAAGCGGAAUGCCUGGUGUAGCGGUGAAAUGCGUAGAGAUCAGGAGGAACACCAGUGGCGAAGGCGGCCUACUGGGCUGUAACUGACGCUGAGGCACGAAAGCGUGGGUAGCAAACAGGAUUAGAUACCCGGGUAGUC
Molecule: ribosomal RNA, 440 nt
Filed under: uncultured bacterium
Lineage: Bacteria
Description: partial 16S ribosomal RNA
Rfam family: Bacterial small subunit ribosomal RNA
Source: RNAcentral